This 433-nucleotide ribosomal RNA is filed under the name uncultured bacterium. RNAcentral's name for it is "partial 16S ribosomal RNA". It matches the Rfam family "Bacterial small subunit ribosomal RNA", at positions 29 to 507 of the family's 1533-position model. The record is from RNAcentral.
AACGAACGCUGGCGGCAUGCCUAACACAUGCGAGUCGAACGAGACCUUCGGGUCUAGUGGCGCACGGGUGCGUAACGCGUGGGAACCUGCCCUUAGGUUCGGAAUAACUCCCCGAAAGGGGUGCUAAUACCGGAUAAUGUCUUCGGACCAAAGAUUUAUCGCCUUUGGAUGGGCCCGCGUUGGAUUAGCUAGUUGGUAGGGUAAAAGCCUACCAAGGCGACGAUCCAUAGCUGGUCUGAGAGGAUGGUCAGCCACACUGGGACUGAGACACGGCCCAGACUCCUACGGGAGGCAGCAGUGGGGAAUAUUGGACAAUGGGCGAAAGCCUGAUCCAGCAAUGCCGCGUGAGUGAUGAAGGCCUUAGGGUUGUAAAGCUCUUUUACCCGGGAUGAUAAUGACAGUACCGGGAGAAUAAGCUCCGGCUAACUCCGUG